Passer domesticus (house sparrow) is the source of this 913-nucleotide long non-coding RNA. RefSeq lists it as uncharacterized. The record is from RefSeq and is a predicted model, not a curated record. The transcript has 3 exons. Lineage: Eukaryota; Metazoa; Chordata; Aves; Passeriformes; Passeridae.
UCUGGGCCUCUGCUUAUCUUCUACAUCCCCUAGUGCAGUGUCCUGACGUGGCACAGCAGUGCCCAGCAGUGCCCAGCAGUGCCCAGUGAGGCUUCAGCUGCUGCUGAGGUGGGACCUGAGCAGGCUGGAGCUGCUGCAGAGCUGCACCACCCAAACUGCUGCUGAGCCUGAGCAGUGCUGGACACACACUGGGGGCUGCUGGGCACUGCACAACUCACAGCUGUCUUUCCAGAGCACUCUGCUGUCCCCUCCUCCAUUCUCUGCUCCAAAUGUGGAAUGUCUGCAAGGUAAUUGGGUUCCAUUAUUUGAUAUAUAAAGUGGGAGUGGGAGGGAGGGUCAGGGAGGACAAAUUAAAAUGAAUUGAGAAUCUUUAUGUGAAGGGAAAAGAGGACUGGAGGGAGCCAUGAUAACUCUUUACAAAUACUUAGAGGGACAUUAUGAAGAGGACAGAGACCAAUUACUCUCAUUAGUCAGUGCAGCAGAACGAGAAGUAAUGUUGUGUGCUGCUGGAGGGAGACCUGGGCUGUGAUGCAAAAGUUCUAAGGGUAACACCACAGAAGGAGUCGUCAGGGGAAGGUUUGUCCUGGCUUCACUGAAGAACCUGGUCUGGAGUUCAGGCAAAUGACAUGCAGACUUCCAGCCGCAGUUUAGGAAAAGUUGAACACUUGCCAGUGACAAGUGCAGGCUCUGGACUCUUGCAAAAGGGAGAAGGAAUUAAAUUAUGUUAGUUGGUGAUGAAAAGACAUAAGAAAUGCAGAAAGAGGACAAAGGAAAAAGGUAACCAUGGAGGUAAAACAAAGAGCUGCUGUUGGAGGUACAGCUGUCACUACACCCAUUCAGGGGAAAUAGAUGAUCAAAGGGGGAAAGACAGGAAAACACCAUUUAAGGAAUAAAUGCAAAGUUAUGAUGCCUC